AUCCGGCGGCGGCGAGUUGACCUUUGCUCUACAGCUGCUGAGAGUGGGCGGGAGGAGGAGGAGGAUCUGGGGCCAAGAUCAUGCCUAAGUGCGAGAGGAUUUCAGGGCAGCAGAGGCCGCUAGGCUUGGGAUGAAAGAAGCAGGGCAGAUGCAAAAUCUGGAGAGCGCGGGGGCCCGGCGGUCAGUCAGCACCCAGACUGGCAGCAUGACCGGUCAAAUACCAAGGCUUUCUAAAGUCAACCUUUUCACUCUGCUCAGUCUCUGGAUGGAGCUCUUCCCAGCAGUAGAAGCCCAAAGACAAAAAUCUCAGGAAAAGGAAGAGGGAAAGCAUGGACCCGUAGGAAAUAAUGAAGAGAUGGCCAGAGUAUCUACAGACAAAAAACAGGUGAAGAAAACUGGUCUUGUGGUGGUGAAAAACAUGAAAAUUGUUGGUCUUCACUGUUCGAGUGAAGAUUUACAUGCUGGGAAAAUUGCUCUUAUAAAACAUGGGUCAAGGCUGAAAAACUGUGAUCUUUAUUUUUCCAGAAAGCCAUGUUCUGCUUGUUUGAAAAUGAUAGUAAAUGCUGGAGUUAACCGAAUUUCAUAUUGGCCUGCUGAUCCAGAAAUAAGCUUGCUUUCUGAGGCUUCAAGUUCCGAAGAUGCAAAGUUAGAUGCCAAAGCAGUGGAAAGAUUGAAAUCAAAUAGUCGGGCCCAUGUGUGUGUCUUACUUCAGCCUUUGGUGUGUUAUAUGGUGCAGUUUGUAGAGGAGACCUCUUACAGAUGUGACUUUAUUCAAAAAAUUAUAAAAACACUGCCGGAUGCUAACACUGACUUUUAUUCCAAGUGUAGACAAGAAAGAAUAAAAGAAUAUGAAAUGUUAUUUUUGGUUUCCGAUGAAGAACUACAUAAGCAAAUACUGAUGACUAUAGGCUUGGAGAACCUAUGUGAAAACCCAUACUUUAGCAAUCUAAGGCAAAACAUGAAAGACCUUAUCCUACUUUUGGCCACAGUAGCUUCCAGUGUGCCCAACUUUAAUCAGUACGGAUUUUAUUGUGGCAAUACCGAACAGAUAAAUGAAAUUCACAAUCAAAGUUUGCCACAAGAAAUUGCAAGGCACUGCAUGGUUCAGGCCAGGUUAUUGGCAUAUCGAACUGAGGAUCAUAAAACAGGAGUUGGAGCAGUCAUUUGGGCAGAAGGAAAAUCUCGAAAUUGUGACGGAACGGGCGCAAUGUACUUCAUAGGAUGUGGUUAUAAUGCUUUUCCUGUUGGAUCUGAGUACGCUGACUUCCCAAACAUGGACGACAAGCAGAAAGACAGAGAAAUAAGGAAAUUCAGAUACAUUGUCCAUGCAGAACAGAAUGCCUUGACAUUUAGGUGUCAAGAAAUAAAAACAGAAGAAAGAAGUAUGAUUUUUGUGACCAAGUGCCCAUGUGAUGAGUGUGUACCUUUAAUUAAAGGUGCAGGCAUAAAACAAAUCUAUGCAGGGGAUGUAGAUGUUGGAAAAAAGAAGGCAGACAUCUCUUACAUGCGAUUUGGGGAACUGGAGGGUGUUAGCAAAUUUACAUGGCAGUUGAAUCCAUCAGGAACUAGCGUUCUUGAACAAAAUGAGCCUGAAAGCAGAGAGAAUGGUGUGGCAAGACCCAGCCUUUCGAACGAAGAACAGCACCAGAACAAGAAGCUGUGUCUUGGAAACCACUAAGAAGGCCUGUCUAUGUUGGAGUGAAGACCUCAAGAAUUUUUAUUGCACUUUAAAAAUGCUUAAUCCAGUGCCUACAACAGUGCCUGGCACAUACUAGGCAUUCACUAAAUAUUUGUUGAUUGAUCGAAUGACUGCUGGACACGGGCUCGACCCUGGAGAUGAGAUGUGUAGGAAAUGCUCCCUGACCUCAAGAAGGCCACCGUCGAGUGGAAGAUACAAGCAUGUAAUCAAGUGAUAGAGACCGAUUCUCAGAGUGGGUUCCCUGCACCAGUAGCAUCGCAUUGCCUGGGGAUUUGUUAGAGAUGAAGCUUCUGAGGGCCCGCCCAGACCUGUUGAAUCAGACACGUUCGCAGCCCCUCAGGUGGUUCCGAUGCCCUUCAAGGUUGUAGCCACCCUGUGGAUGUAACAGUAGGAGCAGUGGUGGCACAAAAGAGGACAAGCACACACUCCUAGGAGUCAUGGAGAGUCGGCCUUGGAGAAGUGGAGGUGCUUACAAUGGGUCCUGAAGGAACCCAGGGGGCUGCAGGCAAACUGGGGAUGAGAGGAACUCCUGAGAAAGCAGUGGAGAUAGGUGGUCACCCUGGGAAGCAGGACAGGGCAGUGACUGGGGACGUACACAGAAUGCUGAGCUGUAGUGGGGGGCCCCUGGGGUGACAAUAGCGACUAAGAUCUAGUAAUUCACAGUGCAGAGCCUUUGUCCCUUAGCCCAAGAAAUCAGGAUUUGCACUUAAACACUAAUACAUCUUGGAAGGAUAAUAGUAAAUUCAUAAUUUGUAAAGAAUAGUCCUGCAUUUGUUUACUGCCGAGGGACAACAGAAUAUGCCCAGGUGAGGUGGGAUAAGCAUGUGCGUGGUUCAUGCCACACCUGCCGGAUAGAGUACGCACAGGUUUAUGUGUAUUGUUUCGCUGUGAGUUUUUCUUCCUCAGUUAGUUUGCAGAAAUAUACCCUUCUCUCAUAAAUCUUCAUUUUAUGCAUGAGCACUUCUGCUUUCAGAUCUGCCGCAACACCCGGCUUUUGACCCACUUUAGCACAAAUGGCACUAAAUAUCAAUUUCUCGAAGUUCUGGUUUUGUCAACAGUGACCACUCGGCAUUUAGCUGCAGCUGUUACUAUUGCUUUUUAGGAUUAAGCAUCACUUUAGUACCUUCAUUUCAUGUGUAACUUUCCUGAAGUCUUUUUAUUUUUUGCUAUCUUUUUAAAUUAUAUCAUACUUCGGCCAUAUAAAAAAAGUAUAAAGAUAUUGUUAUAACAAAUUCUCAUGUACCCAAUAUGAAAGAUUAACAUAUACUGAUGCUUGGAGUCCUAAUCCUAGGUAACUUUAGUUCUCUUUUGAGAUCUAGGCUAGAGCUUUAUGUGGCAUCUUUUCUACAUUUGCUUUCAAGGGUACAUCCUGGGGUCCAAUGCUUACUGCAGGACUGCAGUGCUUCAGAGGCCAACCAAAGGGCAACUCAAGACCACUACCAAGAUUGCGCCCUCUUCUAAGACAGACUUUAUAGCCAGGCUGUUUCAUUUACUUUGUUACCUUUUGCCUCUCAGAUGUCUUCAUUCUCCUGAGCUGGUGAUACCUUUCCUAACAGGAAAAGAUAACCAGCUGCUCUGACCUGGGUGACCCAGUUCUGGUUACCUGGGCCAGUUUUUGAGAGUUUUCUAACUUCUUUGUAAGCUGGGGAGACUGGCCUCCUACCAGUUGAACUGUGAUGCUUUGUACAACAGAGUGAAGGAAGGGUCCUAACAUGGGUGAUGGGGGAUGCCUCCGCCACCUGCGAAGGUGAUUCUGUUACGGCUCAGCUACCUUUAUAACUUACUGCCUCUGGUACUUAGGCCUCUGUUAUUAUAUUUCUAGCCAACAUGUAAAUGUAUGGUACCAUUGAUUCAACUCCUGUGCACCCAGGGGCCAAACUCUGGGUUUGGCAUUCAGUUCCAAAUGGAAACUAAUUUGCUUUGAUACUUUUUAAAAUAGAGGAAACUGAAUGUUCGCUGUCAAAUUUCACAAAUUGAAUUUUGAGAAGCUUAAAAAAUGUGUCUGGUAGCAAAGUAAAAAUUUUUUUAUAUUCUAGAGUUGACAGUGUACAUUUACCACCACCAAAAAUUUAAAGCUGUGAGUUAUUCAAAAUUCUACCUGAGUGAUGUGCCAGAAAACCCUUCGCUGCUAUCUAGAGUAGUCGUACUGCCUUUGCUAGAAUUUUGUCUUUUGUUUUUGUAGCACAAGAAAAUCAACAUAGAUGAGGAUUUCUCAAACCUUGGCACUGUUGGCAUUUGGGGCCAGGCGAUUCUUUACUGUGGAGUCUGUCCUGUGCGUUGUAGACAGUUUAGCUGCAUCCCUGGUCUUUGCCCACUAGAUGCCAGUAGCAACUCCCCACCCAGUAUGACAACCAAAAAUGUUGCCUAAGGGGCAAAGUCACCCUCAGCUGAAAGCCACUAGUAUAAACCAUCCAGUGAGUGAGUAUAAUAAUGUAUUUUACUAUGUCCCAAUACUGUGUCAGACCUAAAGGCCAUUUCAUCUAGUCUAACCGUGACACCUAAGGCAUUUUGUAUGGUCAGGUACCAAAAUUUGAGGACAAUUCCACUGUACCGUCUUCAAAUAUCUUAACUGAAUUACGUUUAGGGUGGAUGAGUCAAAAGCAACCUGCAAUCUCUCACUUCAAUUUUAAUUUACAGGGGUAAAGUUUAUAACCUAUAGCUUUUGCUUUGUUUUGUUUGUGUUUCAGGUUACUGAUACAUGUGAAUUAGACCAUCUUGUAAACAUCCUCAACAUGUAAUAAUUUUUUCUACCUGUUUUCAAAGGGUCAUGGAAGAUCAACAGAGUAGCUACGCUUACCUGGGCUGUACAUAAAUCAAUCAAAAAGUUCAUUUGUGGGUUGGGGUUUUGUCACAGAUGGAUGUUACGUAGAACUAACUACCUGACUUGCUGCCCUCUGGAGCAGAGCAUUCAAUCUAGUAUAUUUGGCUCCUAGCACAUAAAAGUGAAAUACCUGCUAUGUGAUCUUCGCUGGCAUACACACUGUGGCUUAUUUUGCAAAUUUAGAGCACACUGUUCAGCAUGAUCAAAUUUUAUCUUCUCGUAUCAGCAUUUGACAUGUAUCUUAAAGUGAUGGAUAUUUUUAAUGAAAUUACUGUUGGCUAUUAAAAAUCUAGUGGAUCUAUUUAA
Hipposideros armiger (great roundleaf bat) is the source of this 4826-nucleotide RNA transcript. It is a transcript of the gene named cytidine and dCMP deaminase domain containing 1, with no coding region annotated. The record is from RefSeq and is a predicted model, not a curated record. NCBI's taxonomy places the organism in Eukaryota, Metazoa, Chordata, Mammalia, Chiroptera, Hipposideridae. The transcript is spliced from 11 exons.